Non-coding RNA from Manis javanica (Malayan pangolin), 365 nucleotides. The record is from RefSeq and is a predicted model, not a curated record. NCBI's taxonomy places the organism in Eukaryota, Metazoa, Chordata, Mammalia, Pholidota, Manidae.
GGGAGAAUGGUUUGGGGAAGUGCAAAAUGUGUACCGACUGAUAUUCCGUGGACCUGAACCUCAAUUUACUGCUUCAUUCAGUGCCCUGAUGAGAACGAAAUGUCAGGGAUGAGACGGAAGCAGGUGCGGCACUAGGAGCCCUGGGUAGGAGCUCAUCAGGAUCAUCCAAGCUAGAGGAGAUGCUCCUUUACACUACCUUGAUUAAUGAAGUUUUAACAGUCUUCCUUGGGACCUGUUAAUAUGGAGAUGUCUAUUAAACAAUGAAGCAGAAAUGGUAGGUGGACAGCUGAAUAUAGAGCCUGGAAUUUGGAAGACUGAGGUCAGUUCAAGAAAUAUAAAUGUAAUGUCAUCACCAUACAGAUGGU